RNAcentral lists this ribosomal RNA (861 nucleotides) under Escherichia coli. RNAcentral's name for it is "partial 23S ribosomal RNA". It matches the Rfam family "Bacterial large subunit ribosomal RNA", at positions 1 to 905 of the family's 2925-position model. Lineage: Bacteria; Pseudomonadati; Pseudomonadota; Gammaproteobacteria; Enterobacterales; Enterobacteriaceae. The record is from RNAcentral.
GGUUAAGCGACUAAGCGUACACGGUGGAUGCCCUGGCAGUCAGAGGCGAUGAAGGACGUGCUAAUCUGCGAUAAGCGUCGGUGAGGUGAUAUGAACCGUUAUAACCGGCGAUUUCCGAAUGGGGAAACCCAGUGUGUUUCGACACACUAUCAUUAACUGAAUCCAUAGGUUAAUGAGGCGAACCGGGGGAACUGAAACAUCUAAGUACCCCGAGGAAAAGAAAUCAACCGAGAUUCCCCCAGUAGCGGCGAGCGAACGGGGAGGAGCCCAGAGCCUGAAUCAGUGUGUGUGUUAGUGGAAGCGUCUGGAAAGGCGCGCGAUACAGGGUGACAGCCCCGUACACAAAAAUGCACAUAUUGUGAGCUCGAUGAGUAGGGCGGGACACGUGGUAUCCUGUCUGAAUAUGGGGGGACCAUCCUCCAAGGCUAAAUACUCCUGACUGACCGAUAGUGAACCAGUACCGUGAGGGAAAGGCGAAAAGAACCCCGGCGAGGGGAGUGAAAAAGAACCUGAAACCGUGUACGUACAAGCAGUGGGAGCCUCUUAAUGGGGUGACUGCGUACCUUUUGUAUAAUGGGUCAGCGACUUAUAUUCUGUAGCAAGGUUAACCGAAUAGGGGAGCCGAAGGGAAACCGAGUCUUAACUGGGCGUUAAGUUGCAGGGUAUAGACCCGAAACCCGGUGAUCUAGCCAUGGGCAGGUUGAAGGUUGGGUAACACUAACUGGAGGACCGAACCGACUAAUGUUGAAAAAUUAGCGGAUGACUUGUGGCUGGGGGUGAAAGGCCAAUCAAACCGGGAGAUAGCUGGUUCUCCCCGAAAGCUAUUUAGGUAGCGCCUCGUGAAUUCAUCUCCGGGGGUAG